Molecule: ribosomal RNA, 271 nt
Filed under: uncultured bacterium
Lineage: Bacteria
Description: partial 16S ribosomal RNA
Rfam family: Bacterial small subunit ribosomal RNA
Source: RNAcentral
UACGAAGGGGGCUAGCGUUGUUCGGAAUUACUGGGCGUAAAGCGCGCGCAGGCGGUCUUGUAAGUCAGAGGUGAAAUCCCUGGGCUCAACCCAGGAACUGCCUUUGAGACUGCGAGGCUUGAGGACGGGAGAGGUUAGUGGAAUUCCCAGUGUAGAGGUGAAAUUCGUAGAUAUUGGGAAGAACACCAGUGGCGAAGGCGGCUCACUGGCCCGUUUCUGACGCUGAGGCGCGAAAGCGUGGGGAGCAAACAGGAUUAGAAACCCUUGUAGU